UUUGAAAUCCCACUAUAGUAAUGCCAAUAAAAAUGGAAAACGAGAGACCCAAAGUAAUGAGAAAAUGACUUGUAACUGUGAAGCUAUAAAGUAUCAUACCCCGGGGAUUACAAAAUAACGAAAAAGUAAAAGUGACCGAGAUGCGAGGGGAAAACUUUUGUUUAACAUUUUUGGAAAGACCACCUAUUUGUUCGUUUACCGGGUUCAGCACGAAAUCAUAAAUAAGCUCUACCAAGGAUUGCCAUGCAUUUGGUACUAAGUUUCCUCCUCCCUUUUUAGUAACAAAAAUAAACCAAAAGUAGGACCAAACUGAGAGUUAGUAGCAUAAACGAAGAUGGAUUUGUGAAUGAGAAAUAUAACAUUCCUAUUUUCAUAGGAAUCAAUGGGAUUAUUUCAAAUUGUUCAAGUGGGCUGGAGACGAGAUCAUUCGAUAGAUCUUUAUAGGCUUCUUCCCUACUCCGUUUUGCUGCAAAUCUUCCAAAAGGUAUUCAAGAAAGGCGAUAUUGUUGCUUUCCCCAUGUAUAGCUUCGGAAGCUUCCAUAACUUUUUGGGCACUCUCCUUAGGCAUCAAGGCUCCUAAUUUCAGUCGUAUAUCAUAUUAAAGCUCCACUAUACGUUCACUGCAAGGAUUAAGGCUCGGAUGAUCCAUAAUUGUUGUCGUGGAUUGACUCGCAUUUGUAUACGAUGUAACACUGGAAUUUAAACUAUCCUCAUCAAAUAAAAAUAUACGUCGAAACAUUGUGAUUGAGAUAAAGAUUCCCUCAAUACAGCUUAACUCCGUCAAGCCUGUACGAGUAGUGAAGAAGUAUAGAGCACUUUGGUUGGUUGUUGACCAACGGAAAGUAUGGGAGAAAAAAAGAUGCACAAACGAAAAAGGGCUAAAAAAAGGACGAAGUCAUUUCAUAUAUAAAAAGAGCGGUUGCAGAAUGUAUGGGAGAAAAAAAGAUGCACAAACAAAAAAUGGCUAAAAAAAGGACGAAGUCAUUUCAUAUAUAAAAAGAGCGGUACACUGAAUACGAACCCAAUAUCAAAGAACUAAAGAGGAAGCUAGUCGAUCAUUCAACAACAGGAAUCUACCCUAGGAUCCAACCUGCCAGCUUUCUUCUCUUAUGAUAUUUCGAAUAGCGAGAAAGUGAAAUAAUGGGGAAUAUAAUGGAGCAUACUAAUA
Molecule: long non-coding RNA, 1168 nt
Filed under: Nicotiana benthamiana
Lineage: Eukaryota; Viridiplantae; Streptophyta; Magnoliopsida; Solanales; Solanaceae
Description: long non-coding RNA (NBEN_LNC012508)
Source: RNAcentral